This 342-nucleotide ribosomal RNA is filed under the name Triticum aestivum (bread wheat). RNAcentral's name for it is "partial small subunit ribosomal RNA". The record is from RNAcentral. Lineage: Eukaryota; Viridiplantae; Streptophyta; Magnoliopsida; Poales; Poaceae.
AUGCUCGAAGAAUUCUGCCAAAACUUUGAAGAAGAAACUGGACGGAUCGAGACAGGCUUGGACCCCAUCCUUUCUCCUGUCGAUAAUGAGGCUACCAUGAACGUGCUCCGACUGGAAUCCCGUGUUGCCAGCGUUACGAGCUAUCUUGCUUGCCUGAAGGUGGCGGUGUCGCGCAUCGAUAUGACACUUUGGCCAAGGGAAACGCUUCAAAAUGACCUCGAGUCCUUGAUGAAUCGACUCAAUGAGGUCCCUGGUCGAGUGCAAGAAUGGAAGAAGUCUUCUGCCCGAUGCGGUGCUGAGGUGGCUCUGUCGCUGGUUCGGGUCCACUGCAAAGAAGCUUGA